AGAGUUUGAUCAUGGCUCAGAACGAACGCCGGCGGCAGGCCUCAAACAUGCAAGUCUAGGGGGUGCAGCAAUGCAUCACCGGCGGACGGGUGCGUAACGCGUGGGAAUAUACCUAUUGGUUCGGAACAACUGCGGGAAACUGCAGCUAAUACCGAAUGUGCCCGCAAGGGGAAAGAUUUAUCGCCAAUGGAUUAGCCCGCGUAGGAUUAGCUAGUUGGUGGGGUAACGGCCCACCAAGGCUCCGAUCCUUAGCUGUUCUGAGAGGAAGAUCAGCCACACUGGGACUGAGACACGGCCCAGACUCCUACGGGAGGCAGCAGUUGGGAAUCUUGGACAAUGGGGGAAACCCUGAUCCAGCCAUGCCGCGUGAGUGAUGAAGGCCUUCGGGUUGUAAAACUCUUUCGACGGGGACGAUAAUGACGGUACCCGUAGAAGAAGCUCCGGCUAACUUCGUGCCAGCAGCCGCGGUAAUACGAAGGGGGCUAGCGUUGUUCGGAAUUACUGGGCGUAAAGCGCGCGCAGGCGGCUAUCCAAGUCAGUGGUGAAAGCCCGGAGCUCAACUCCGGAACUGCCAUUGAAACUGUUUAGCUUGAGGAUGAGAGAGGUGAGUGGAAUUCCCAGUGUAGAGGUGAAAUUCGUAGAUAUUGGGAAGAACACCGGUGGCGAAGGCGGCUCACUGGCUCAUUACUGACGCUCAGGCGCGAUAGCGUGGGGAUCAAACAGGAUUAGAUACCCCCGUAGUCC
RNAcentral lists this ribosomal RNA (744 nucleotides) under uncultured bacterium. Its description in RNAcentral is "bacterial SSU rRNA". It matches the Rfam family "Bacterial small subunit ribosomal RNA", at positions 8 to 796 of the family's 1533-position model. The record is from RNAcentral.